GACGAACGCUGGCGGCGUGCCUAAUACAUGCAAGUUGAGCGAUGAAGAUUGGUGCUUGCACCAAUUUGAAGAGCAGCGAACGGGUGAGUAACGCGUGGGGAAUCUGCCUUUGAGCGGGGGACAACAUUUGGAAACGAAUGCUAAUACCGCAUAACAACUUUAAACAUAAGUUUUAAGUUUGAAAGAUGCAAUUGCAUCACUCAAAGAUGAUCCCGCGUUGUAUUAGCUAGUUGGUGAGGUAAAGGCUCACCAAGGCGAUGAUACAUAGCCGACCUGAGAGGGUGAUCGGCCACAUUGGGACUGAGACACGGCCCAAACCCCUACGGGAGGCAGCAGUAGGGAAGCUUCGGCAAUGGACGAAAGUCUGACCGAGCAACGCCGCGUGAGUGAAGAAGGUUUUCGGAUCGUAAAACUCUGUUGGUAGAGAAGAACGUUGGUGAGAGUGGAAAGCUCAUCAAGUGACGGUAACUACCCAGAAAGGGACGGCUAACUACGUG
RNAcentral lists this ribosomal RNA (497 nucleotides) under uncultured bacterium. RNAcentral describes it as "partial 16S ribosomal RNA". It matches the Rfam family "Bacterial small subunit ribosomal RNA", at positions 28 to 507 of the family's 1533-position model. The record is from RNAcentral.